Molecule: ribosomal RNA, 2925 nt
Filed under: Salmonella enterica subsp. enterica serovar Worthington
Lineage: Bacteria; Pseudomonadati; Pseudomonadota; Gammaproteobacteria; Enterobacterales; Enterobacteriaceae
Description: 23S ribosomal RNA
Rfam family: Bacterial large subunit ribosomal RNA
Source: RNAcentral
GGGUUGUGAGGUUAAGCGACUAAGCGUACACGGUGGAUGCCCUGGCAGUCAGAGGCGAUGAAGGGCGUGCUAAUCUGCGAUAAGCGCCGGUAAGGUGAUAUGAACCGUUAUAACCGGCGAUACCCGAAUGGGGAAACCCAGUGUGAUUCGUCACACUAUCAUUAACUGAAUCCAUAGGUUAAUGAGGCGAACCGGGGGAACUGAAACAUCUAAGUACCCCGAGGAAAAGAAAUCAACCGAGAUUCCCCCAGUAGCGGCGAGCGAACGGGGAGGAGCCCAGAGCCUGAAUCAGCAUGUGUGUUAGUGGAAGCGUCUGGAAAGGCGCGCGAUACAGGGUGACAGCCCCGUACACAAAAGCGCAUGUGCUGUGAGCUCGAUGAGUAGGGCGGGACACGUGGUAUCCUGUCUGAAUAUGGGGGGACCAUCCUCCAAGGCUAAAUACUCCUGACUGACCGAUAGUGAACCAGUACCGUGAGGGAAAGGCGAAAAGAACCCCGGCGAGGGGAGUGAAAAAGAACCUGAAACCGUGUACGUACAAGCAGUGGGAGCACAGGUUUACCUGUGUGACUGCGUACCUUUUGUAUAAUGGGUCAGCGACUUAUAUUCUGUAGCAAGGUUAACCGUAUAGGGGAGCCGUAGGGAAACCGAGUCUUAACCGGGCGUUAAGUUGCAGGGUAUAGACCCGAAACCCGGUGAUCUAGCCAUGGGCAGGUUGAAGGUUGGGUAACACUAACUGGAGGACCGAACCGACUAAUGUUGAAAAAUUAGCGGAUGACCUGUGGCUGGGGGUGAAAGGCCAAUCAAACCGGGAGAUAGCUGGUUCUCCCCGAAAGCUAUUUAGGUAGCGCCUCGUGAAUUCAUCUCCGGGGGUAGAGCACUGUUUCGGCUAGGGGGCCAUCCCGGCUUACCAACCCGAUGCAAACUGCGAAUACCGGAGAAUGUUAUCACGGGAGACACACGGCGGGUGCUAACGUCCGUCGUGAAGAGGGAAACAACCCAGACCGCCAGCUAAGGUCCCAAAGUCAUGGUUAAGUGGGAAACGAUGUGGGAAGGCCCAGACAGCCGUGUUGGCUUAGAAGCAGCCAUCAUUUAAAGAAAGCGUAAUAGCUCACUGGUCGAGUCGGCCUGCGCGGAAGAUGUAACGGGGCUAAACCAUGCACCGAAGCUGCGGCAGCGACACUGUGUGUUGUUGGGUAGGGGAGCGUUCUGUAAGCCUGUGAAGGUGGCCUGUGAGGGUUGCUGGAGGUAUCAGAAGUGCGAAUGCUGACAUAAGUAACGAUAAAGCGGGUGAAAAGCCCGCUCGCCGGAAGACCAAGGGUUCCUGUCCAACGUUAAUCGGGGCAGGGUGAGUCGACCCCUAAGGCGAGGCCGAAAGGCGUAGUCGAUGGGAAACGGGUUAAUAUUCCCGUACUUGGUGUUACUGCGAAGGGGGGACGGAGAAGGCUAUGUUGGCCGGGCGACGGUUGUCCCGGUUUAAGCGUGUAGGUGUGUGUUCCAGGUAAAUCCGGUUCACUUUAACACUGAGGCGUGACGACGAGGCACUACGGUGCUGAAGCAACAAAUGCCCUGCUUCCAGGAAAAGCCUCUAAGCAUCAGGUAACAUCAAAUCGUACCCCAAACCGACACAGGUGGUCAGGUAGAGAAUACCAAGGCGCUUGAGAGAACUCGGGUGAAGGAACUAGGCAAAAUGGUGCCGUAACUUCGGGAGAAGGCACGCUGACACGUAGGUGAAGUGAUUUACUCAUGGAGCUGAAGUCAGUCGAAGAUACCAGCUGGCUGCAACUGUUUAUUAAAAACACAGCACUGUGCAAACACGAAAGUGGACGUAUACGGUGUGACGCCUGCCCGGUGCCGGAAGGUUAAUUGAUGGGGUCAGCGCAAGCGAAGCUCCUGAUCGAAGCCCCGGUAAACGGCGGCCGUAACUAUAACGGUCCUAAGGUAGCGAAAUUCCUUGUCGGGUAAGUUCCGACCUGCACGAAUGGCGUAAUGAUGGCCAGGCUGUCUCCACCCGAGACUCAGUGAAAUUGAACUCGCUGUGAAGAUGCAGUGUACCCGCGGCAAGACGGAAAGACCCCGUGAACCUUUACUAUAGCUUGACACUGAACAUUGAGCCUUGAUGUGUAGGAUAGGUGGGAGGCUUUGAAGCGUGGACGCCAGUCUGCGUGGAGCCAACCUUGAAAUACCACCCUUUAAUGUUUGAUGUUCUAACGUGGACCCGUAAUCCGGGUUGCGGACAGUGUCUGGUGGGUAGUUUGACUGGGGCGGUCUCCUCCUAAAGAGUAACGGAGGAGCACGAAGGUUGGCUAAUCCUGGUCGGACAUCAGGAGGUUAGUGCAAUGGCAUAAGCCAGCUUGACUGCGAGCGUGACGGCGCGAGCAGGUGCGAAAGCAGGUCAUAGUGAUCCGGUGGUUCUGAAUGGAAGGGCCAUCGCUCAACGGAUAAAAGGUACUCCGGGGAUAACAGGCUGAUACCGCCCAAGAGUUCAUAUCGACGGCGGUGUUUGGCACCUCGAUGUCGGCUCAUCACAUCCUGGGGCUGAAGUAGGUCCCAAGGGUAUGGCUGUUCGCCAUUUAAAGUGGUACGCGAGCUGGGUUUAGAACGUCGUGAGACAGUUCGGUCCCUAUCUGCCGUGGGCGCUGGAGAACUGAGGGGGGCUGCUCCUAGUACGAGAGGACCGGAGUGGACGCAUCACUGGUGUUCGGGUUGUCAUGCCAAUGGCACUGCCCGGUAGCUAAAUGCGGAAGAGAUAAGUGCUGAAAGCAUCUAAGCACGAAACUUGCCCCGAGAUGAGUUCUCCCUGAGACUUAGAGUCUCCUGAAGGAACGUUGAAGACGACGACGUUGAUAGGCCGGGUGUGUAAGCGCAGCGAUGCGUUGAGCUAACCGGUACUAAUGAACCGUGAGGCUUAACCUUACAACGCCGAAG